UGGGGAAUUUUGGACAAUGGGGGAAACCCUGAUCCAGCCAUGCCGCGUGCAGGAUGAAGGCCUUCGGGUUGUAAACUGCUUUUGUACGGAACGAAAAGGUUCAUUCUAAUAAAGUGAGCCCAUGACGGUACCGUAAGAAUAAGCACCGGCUAACUACGUGCCAGCAGCCGCGGUAAUACGUAGGGUGCAAGCGUUAAUCGGAAUUACUGGGCGUAAAGCGUGCGCAGGCGGUUAUGUAAGACAGAUGUGAAAUCCCCGGGCUCAACCUGGGAACUGCAUUUGUGACUGCAUAGCUUGAGUGCGGCAGAGGGGGAUGGAAUUCCGCGUGUAGCAGUGAAAUGCGUAGAUAUGCGGAGGAACACCGAUGGCGAAGGCAAUCCCCUGGGCCUGCACUGACGCUCAUGCACGAAAGCGUGGGGAGCAAACA
RNAcentral lists this ribosomal RNA (427 nucleotides) under uncultured bacterium. RNAcentral describes it as "bacterial SSU rRNA". It matches the Rfam family "Bacterial small subunit ribosomal RNA", at positions 355 to 774 of the family's 1533-position model. The record is from RNAcentral.